This 785-nucleotide ribosomal RNA is filed under the name uncultured Neocallimastigales. Its description in RNAcentral is "partial large subunit ribosomal RNA". It matches the Rfam family "Eukaryotic large subunit ribosomal RNA", at positions 23 to 645 of the family's 3401-position model. Lineage: Eukaryota; Fungi; Neocallimastigomycota; Neocallimastigomycetes; Neocallimastigales. The record is from RNAcentral.
AGAGAUGUGUGAUGACGCAUAUCAAUAAGCGGAGGAAAAGAAACUAACGAGGAUUCCCUUAGUAACGGCGAGUGAAGCGGGAAGAGCUCAAAUUUGAAAUCUUCAAGGUUCUACCUUGACGAAUUGUAGUUUAUAGAAGUGUUUUCUGUUAGUAGAGUGGCAAAAGUUCUUUGGAAUAGGACAUCAUAGAGGGUGAGAAUCCCGUAUUUGGUCCAUUCUUUCUAGCUUUGUGAUACACUUUCAACGAGUCGGAUUGUUUGGGAAUGCAGUCCAAAAUGGGUGGUAAAUUUCAUCUAAAGCUAAAUAUUGGCGAGAGACCUGAUAGCGAACAAGUACCGUGAGGGAAAGAUGAAAAGAACUUUGAAAAGAGAGUUAAACAGUACGUGAAAUUGUCAAAAGGGAAGCGUUUGACACCAGUGUUGUUUUUCCGAAAAUCAAUUACGAAUGUUUUAUUUUUGAGGAGUUAUGACUUCAUCGGCUUGCUCCUUUCUUUACGAAACUUUCUUAAUGCACCUUUUCGGUUAACAAGUCAACAUCAAUUUCUUUUGUUGUAAAAGAGGUCAUUGAGGAAGGUGGCUUUUCUUUCGGAGAAAGUGUUUAUAGCCUUUGUACCUUCUGCAAUCGGAGAGAUUGAGGUCUGCAGCGUAGAUCCUUCGGGGUUAGAUACAGUUUGUGCUAAGCUAUAGCCUUUUCAUAGACAACUUGUUGACUAUGCUCAGUCAUGCUAGCUUACUCGCUUAUGCUAUUUUACCUACGCUUAGGAUGUUGAAGUCAUCGUAUCGCGC